Molecule: ribosomal RNA, 693 nt
Filed under: Prostomidae sp. UPOL ZL0154
Lineage: Eukaryota; Metazoa; Arthropoda; Insecta; Coleoptera; Prostomidae
Description: eukaryotic LSU rRNA
Rfam family: Eukaryotic large subunit ribosomal RNA
Source: RNAcentral
GGAGUCUAGCAUGUGCGCGAGUCAUUGGGACCGAACGAAACCUAAAGGCAAAAUGAAAGUGAAGGUCCGCCCAGUGCGGACCUAAGGAGGAUGGGCGGCCGUUACGGUUGCCGCCCCGCACUCCCGGGGCGUCUCGCUCUCAUUGCGAGAAGAGGCGCACCAAGAGCGUACACGCUGGGACCCGAAAGAUGGUGAACUAUGCCUGGUCAGGACGAAGUCAGGGGAAACCCUGAUGGAGGUCCGUAGCGAUUCUGACGUGCAAAUCGAUCGUCGGAACUGGGUAUAGGGGCGAAAGACUAAUCGAACCAUCUAGUAGCUGGUUCCCUCCGAAGUUUCCCUCAGGAUAGCUGGCGCUUUUUGCGCACGAGUUUCAUCCGGUAAAGCGAAUGAUUAGAGGCAUUGGGGUCGAAACGGCCUCAACCUAUUCUCAAACUUUAAAUGGGUGAGAUCUCCGGCUUGCUCGAAGAACAAAUGACACACGCGCGCGUUCUCGGUCUCGAUCGUUUUUCGCGCUGCCGUGUGUCGUUCUGAAGCCGCGAGAAGAAUCAGAGUGCCAAGUGGGCCAUUUUUGGUAAGCAGAACUGGCGCUGUGGGAUGAACCAAACGUAGAGUUAAAGCGCCAAAAUCGACGCUUAUGGGAUACCAUGAAAGGCGUUGGUAACUUAAGACAUCAGGACGGUGGCCAUGGAAGUC